This 368-nucleotide unclassified non-coding RNA is filed under the name Hevea brasiliensis (rubber tree). The record is from RNAcentral. Lineage: Eukaryota; Viridiplantae; Streptophyta; Magnoliopsida; Malpighiales; Euphorbiaceae.
GUUUGCUAGAAAAUUUAUUCUUCACAAUAUCAGGAGAUAGAGACAUGUAAUUGUUUGUGGGAUGAAAAGUGACAUAAAUGGAAAUCUCAAAUUCAAGUCUCUUCCCUUGCUAGCUCCUGGCCACGCUGAUCCAUCACAAUUGGCAAGAGGCAAAAGGAAGAUAAAAUUUUGCAGUACUGAAGAGUUGAAGAACAUGCAAGUAGGAUAGAGAAACAAGUAAAAUUUGUGGCAGAAAGUUGCCUUGUUUAUUGUUAACAAUCUCAGUGCACAAAGCACACGAAGGCCCAAGAAAGAAUUGCUCACAAUAAAUAGAGAGAUGCCCUAAUCGAAACAACAAAGGCUGUACGCUAUACAUACAAUAAUAAAUU